Molecule: ribosomal RNA, 253 nt
Filed under: uncultured bacterium
Lineage: Bacteria
Description: partial 16S ribosomal RNA
Rfam family: Bacterial small subunit ribosomal RNA
Source: RNAcentral
UACGUAGGGGGCAAGCGUUGUCCGGAAUUAUUGGGCGUAAAGAGCGCGUAGGCGGUCCGAUAAGUCGGCUGUGAAAGUCAGGGGCUCAACCCUUGAAAGCCGGCCGAUACUGUCGGACUAGAGUCCGGAAGAGGCAAGUGGAAUUCCCGGUGUAGCGGUGAAAUGCGCAGAUAUCAGGAAGAACACCAAUGGCGAAGGCAGCUCUCUGGGACGGUACUGACGCUGAGACGCGAAAGCGUGGGGAGCGAACAGG